RNAcentral lists this ribosomal RNA (595 nucleotides) under uncultured bacterium. RNAcentral's name for it is "bacterial SSU rRNA". It matches the Rfam family "Bacterial small subunit ribosomal RNA", at positions 273 to 858 of the family's 1533-position model. The record is from RNAcentral.
GCAACGAUGGUUAGCUGGUCUGAGAGGAUGAUCAGCCACACUGGAACUGAGACACGGUCCAGACUCCUACGGGAGGCAGCAGUGAGGAAUAUUGCGCAAUGGGGGCAACCCUGACGCAGCAACGCCGCGUGAGUGAGGAAGGUUUUCGGACCGUAAAGCUCUGUCGAGCGGGAAGAAAUGCAUGCUGGCUAAUAUCCAUCAUGCUUGACGGUACCGCUAGAGGAAGCACCGGCUAACUCCGUGCCAGCAGCCGCGGUAAUACGGGGGGUGCAAGCGUUGUUCGGAAUUAUUGGGCGUAAAGAGCGUGUAGGCGGUUGGACAAGUCAGAUGUGAAAGCCCUGGGCUUAACUCAGGAAGUGCAUUUGAAACUGUUCAGCUGGAGUAAGGGAGAGGAAAGUGGAAUUCCUGGUGUAGAGGUGAAAUUCGUAGAUAUCAGGAGGAACACCGGUGGCGAAGGCGACUUUCUGGCCCUAUACUGACGCUGAGACGCGAGAGCGUGGGUAGCAAACAGGAUUAGAUACCCUGGUAGUCCACGCUGUAAACGAUGUUCACUAGGUGUUGGGAGUAUUGACCCUCUCAGUGCCGCAGCUAACGC